UUGAGGGAAAAGCAUAGGGAAUGAAUUUUUAUAGAGUGUGGUGAAUUGCUCGAGGAAUAGCAAUGAUUUAAGUCUGGGUGUUGAUAAUAGGCUAUGUAGUUGUUAUUUACACCAUAAUUAUCCAUUCUAUGUUGUUGUUUUGUAAUGUAAAUUGCCAAUAAAAUACUUUAAUUGAUGCUAAUUGGUUUCGCAGGGAAUACAAGAUGCGAGGAAGCAAAAAUGGAGUGUUUAGAGGCAACAACGUGAAGAAAAUACCCACUCAAGAAGUACCCGAACACAAAAGAGCAUAAAGAGAAGAAAUGCGAAGACUAAAACCCAAACAGGGCUCCCUGCGGUUGCCACUACGGUCUGCGCCACGGUUGGAGGCAGAAGGCUCCGCGAUCAGCACCGCGACGCCGCGGCCAGUUCCAAAACUAGAAAUUCGAGGGUCAAAGUGUAAAUUCGGGGAACCUUUUUGUAAAACCCUUAAAAGUUGUAGAAACCCGCCCAAGAGAGGCUAAGCUUGUUUUGAGAUUACUUUGGAAAGAG
This 528-nucleotide long non-coding RNA is filed under the name Nicotiana benthamiana. Its description in RNAcentral is "long non-coding RNA (NBEN_LNC015032)". Lineage: Eukaryota; Viridiplantae; Streptophyta; Magnoliopsida; Solanales; Solanaceae. The record is from RNAcentral.